Long non-coding RNA from Oncorhynchus masou masou (cherry salmon), 661 nucleotides. RefSeq lists it as uncharacterized. The transcript has 4 exons. The record is from RefSeq and is a predicted model, not a curated record. Lineage: Eukaryota; Metazoa; Chordata; Actinopteri; Salmoniformes; Salmonidae.
CCUUCCUUCGGGAAUUGCACGGAACCGUUAUGUGUUAGACAGUUGACAAUGAUGGGGGAGUGAACUACAGCUAUUUAAAAGGAAACUGCAGGUGUUGGUGCCUGUGGAAUGCAGGGUCCUGGUUCUUUGUUCCAUCCUGCACUCAGCGAGAGAGAUGAGACACGCAGAGGCCCAUCCAAGCAGACCAGUCAUGAUCACUCUUCAGCACACAUUCUACAUUCCAAUAGGUUAUCUCAUGUGCAAGGUAAAUGUUGGGUCCAAUUCACACACAAACCGUGGAUUGGACUUCAUUUCCAAGAGUCAAAGUUUCCUGGGCGCCCCAGGCUUUGAAAAAACAGUAAUUGGCCAGCAGAGAGAGUCUGCAUCUCCCUGAGUGAUUGAGGGCAUUUGUUGCUAUGAACUUGAAGGCUUCCCUCAAAAGAUCAUGGUUCCAGGUUACGAGAGCCUGUAACAUAUCGAGCAGGAUCCAAUUCACAUCCCCACAACACAUCUGUCACUGCCGCAACAGAGAGAACGAGGACAGAGUGGUUCCAAUUGUGCCGUAUAACAGCUUAAUCAACGCCCAUCAACUACUGCUAGAGUUUCCCGAAGGCCUUGAGACUUACUGCUUGAAGGACUCUCAAUGAAAACCACCCCUGUAACAGCUGUCAUAUUUAAAAUA